GACGAACGCUGGCGGCGUGCUUAACACAUGCAAGUCGAGCGAUGAAAGCCUUAUGAACUAUUCGUAGUGAUUGAGGCCGGAUUAGCGGCGGACGGGUGAGUAACGCGUGAGCAACCUGCCUUAAACAACGGGAUAGCCUCGGGAAACCGGGAUUAAUACCGUAUGAGACCCCGCCUUCACAUGAAGAAGAGGUUAAAGAUUUAUCGGUUUAAGAUGGGCUCGCGCCUGAUUAGCUAGUUGGUGAGAUAAAGCCCACCAAGGCGACGAUCAGUACCCGGCUUGAGAGAGUGAACGGUCACAUUGGAACUGAGACACGGUCCAAACUCCUACGGGAGGCAGCAGUGGGGAAUAUUGCACAAUGGGGGAAACCCUGAUGCAGCGACGCCGCGUGAGCGAUGAAGGAAUUCGUUUCGUAAAGCUCUGUCCAAGGGGAAGAUAAUGACAGUACCCUUGGAGGAAGCCCCGGCUAAAUACGUGCCAGCCGCCGCGGUAA
This 493-nucleotide ribosomal RNA is filed under the name uncultured bacterium. Its description in RNAcentral is "partial 16S ribosomal RNA". It matches the Rfam family "Bacterial small subunit ribosomal RNA", at positions 28 to 523 of the family's 1533-position model. The record is from RNAcentral.